GACGAACGCUGGCGGCGUGCUUAACACAUGCAAGUCGAACGGAAAGGCCCUGCUUUUGUGGGGUGCUCGAGUGGCGAACGGGUGAGUAACACGUGAGUAACCUGCCCUUGACUUUGGGAUAACUUCAGGAAACUGGGGCUAAUACCGGAUAGGAGCUCCUGCUGCAUGGUGGGGGUUGGAAAGUUUCGGCGGUUGGGGAUGGACUCGCGGCUUAUCAGCUUGUUGGUGGGGUAGUGGCUUACCAAGGCUUUGACGGGUAGCCGGCCUGAGAGGGUGACCGGCCACAUUGGGACUGAGAGACGGCGCAGACUCCUACGGGAGGCAGCAGUGGGGAAUAUUGCACAAUGGGCGGAAGCCUGAUGCAGCAACGCCGCGUGCGGGAUGACGGCCUUCGGGUUGUAAACCGCUUUAGCCUGUGACGAAGCGGGAGUGACGGUAAUGGGUAAAGAAGCACCGGCUAACUACGUG
This 468-nucleotide ribosomal RNA is filed under the name uncultured bacterium. RNAcentral's name for it is "partial 16S ribosomal RNA". It matches the Rfam family "Bacterial small subunit ribosomal RNA", at positions 28 to 507 of the family's 1533-position model. The record is from RNAcentral.